GACGAACGCUGGCGGCGUGCCUAAUACAUGCAAGUUGAGCGCUGAAGGUUGGUACUUGUACCCACUGGAUGAGCAGCGAACGGGUGAGUAACGCGUGGGGAAUCUGCCUUUGAGCGGGGGACAACAUUUGGAAACGAAUGCUAAUACCGCAUAAAAACUUUAAACACAAGUUUUAAGUUUGAAAGAUGCAAUUGCAUCACUCAAAGAUGAUCCCGCGUUGUAUUAGCUAGUUGGUGAGGUAAAGGCUCACCAAGGCGAUGAUACAUAGCCGACCUGAGAGGGUAAACGGCCACAUGGGGACUGAGACACGGCCCAAACUCCUACGGGAGGCAGCAGUAGGGAAUCUUCGGCAAUGGACGAAAGUCUGACCGAGCAACGCCGCGUGAGUGAAGAAGGUUUUCCGAUCGUAAAACUCUGUUGGUAGAGAAGAACGGUGGUGAGAGUGGAAAGCUCAUCAAGUGACGGUAACUACCCAGAAAGGGACGGCUAACUACGUG
RNAcentral lists this ribosomal RNA (497 nucleotides) under uncultured bacterium. Its description in RNAcentral is "partial 16S ribosomal RNA". It matches the Rfam family "Bacterial small subunit ribosomal RNA", at positions 28 to 507 of the family's 1533-position model. The record is from RNAcentral.